Molecule: ribosomal RNA, 425 nt
Filed under: uncultured bacterium
Lineage: Bacteria
Description: bacterial SSU rRNA
Rfam family: Bacterial small subunit ribosomal RNA
Source: RNAcentral
GGGGAAUUGUUCGCAAUGGGCGCAAGCCUGACGACGCAACGCCGCGUGGAGGAUGAAGGUCUUCGGAUUGUAAACUCCUGUCGAACGGGACGAACACCUUUCGGUUUAAUACUCCGAGAGGCUGACGGUACCGCGAGAGGAAGCCCCGGCUAACUCUGUGCCAGCAGCCGCGGUAAUACAGCGGGGGCAAGCGUUGUUCGGAAUUACUGGGCGUAAAGAGUGUGUAGGUGGUGUCGUAAGUUUGGUGUGAAAUCUCCCGGCUUAACUGGGAGGGUGCGCCGAAGACUGCGAUGCUGGAGUAUGGGAGAGGAAAGCGGAAUUCCUGGUGUAGCGGUGAAAUGCGUAGAUAUCAGGAGGAACACCUGCGGUGUAGACGGCUUUCUGGACCAUUACUGACACUGAGACACGAAAGCGUGGGUAGCAAA